Alligator mississippiensis (American alligator) is the source of this 393-nucleotide long non-coding RNA. RefSeq lists it as uncharacterized. NCBI's taxonomy places the organism in Eukaryota, Metazoa, Chordata, Crocodylia, Alligatoridae. The record is from RefSeq and is a predicted model, not a curated record. The transcript is spliced from 3 exons.
AACAAGCAAAGGAACAAGUCUUCAAUAUCUUAGCCCCGGGGAAGAUGGAAUCUGCAAGGAAACCUAGAGAAAGAAGGAAGGAGUGCUCUUCUUUUUAAACUGGAAAUAUGGUAACCUUGCAGGACUGCAACCCGGAGGCACAUAGAGGAGCGCCCAGAAAGGCAAGAAGAAAGGCGAGAAUGAUCCUCCUCUGUUUUGAUAGGCCUUGAUCUCUGAGUAAUCAGCAUUUUUUCUUCUGCUAAUUGUGCCUGCUACCCAGGCCCCUCCCCUUCUAAUGUUUUUUUCAUAAUGCUGCACCUGGCUUCUUCUGAUCUCACCUGAUGAAGAAUAUCUUGCAGCUUGUCUGACUUUAUCCCAACUACCAAGUUGGUCCAAUAAAAGAUAACACACUCA